GUAGGGAAUAUUGGGCAAUGGAUGCAAGUCUGACCCAGCCAUCCCGCGUGCCGGAAGAAGGCCCUCAGGGUUGUAAACGGCUUUUGACGGUGAAGAAUCGACAGGAUGCGUCCUGUUUUGACGGUAGCCGUUGAAUAAGCACCGGCUAACUCCGUUCCAGCAGCCGCGGUAAUACGGAGGGUGCGAGCGUUGUCCGGAUUUAUUGGGUUUAAAGUGUGCGUAGGCUGGAAGGUCAGUCAGCGGUGAAAAGCUGUCGCUUAACGAUAGUCUUGCCGCAGAUACUUCCUUUCUUGUAUGAGGAGGAAGCCACUGGAACGGAUGGUGUAGCGGUGAAAUGCAUAGAUAUCAUCCAGAACACCGAUUGCGAAGGCAGGUGGCUGUACCUUAAUCGACGCUGAUGCACGAAAGCAUGGGGAGCAAACAGGAUUAGAAACCCCUGUAGUCC
This 445-nucleotide ribosomal RNA is filed under the name uncultured bacterium. RNAcentral's name for it is "partial 16S ribosomal RNA". It matches the Rfam family "Bacterial small subunit ribosomal RNA", at positions 354 to 796 of the family's 1533-position model. The record is from RNAcentral.